GACGAACGCUGGCGGCGUGCUUAACACAUGCAAGUCGAACGGACCGGCCCGGUUUUUGCCGGGGUGGGGCAGUGGGGAACGGGGGGGUAAAACGGUGGUAACCUGCCCUUCACUUCUGGAAAACCGCUGGAAAGGGGGGCUAAAACGGGGGGUUUUGAUUGUGCCGCAUGGUUUGGUGGGGAAAGAUGCACUUUCGGGGUGUUUUGGGGGGGGCUGGGCUCGCGGCCCUACGGCUUGUGGGUGGGGUGUUGGCCGGCCACGGCUUUGGCGGGUAGCCGGCGUGAGGGGGUGGGCGGUCACACUGGGUCUGAGACACGGCCCAGACUCCUGCGGGGCGCAGCAGUGGGGGGUAUUGCACAAUGGGCGGAAGCCUGAUGCAGCGGCGUCGCGUGAGGGAUGGAGGCCUUCGGGUUGUGAACCUCUUUCGCCGGUGAAGAAGGUCCUGCUCUUUGUGGUGGGGUUGACGGUAGCCGGGUUAUGAAGCGCCGGCUAACUACGUG
This 500-nucleotide ribosomal RNA is filed under the name uncultured bacterium. RNAcentral's name for it is "partial 16S ribosomal RNA". It matches the Rfam family "Bacterial small subunit ribosomal RNA", at positions 28 to 507 of the family's 1533-position model. The record is from RNAcentral.